Molecule: ribosomal RNA, 429 nt
Filed under: Acidobacteriota bacterium
Lineage: Bacteria; Pseudomonadati; Acidobacteriota
Description: Acidobacteria bacterium partial 16S ribosomal RNA
Rfam family: Bacterial small subunit ribosomal RNA
Source: RNAcentral
UGGGGAAUUUUGGACAAUGGGGGAAACCCUGAUCCAGCCAUCCCGCGUUUGCGAUGAAGGCCUUCGGGUUGUAAAGCACUUUUGGCAGGAAAGAAACGUCAUGGGUUAAUACCCCGUGAAACUGACGGUACCUGCAGAAUAAGCACCGGCUAACUACGUGCCAGCAGCCGCGGUAAUACGUAGGGUGCAAGCGUUAAUCGGAAUUACUGGGCGUAAAGCGUGCGCAGGCGGUUCGGAAAGAAAGAUGUGAAAUCCCAGAGCUCAACUUUGGAACUGCAUUUGUAACUACCGGGCUAGAGUGUGUCGGAGGUAGGUGGAAUUCCGCGUGUAGCAGUGAAAUGCGUAGAUAUGCGGAGGAACACCGAUGGCGAAGGCAGCCUCCUGGGAUAACACUGACGCUCAUGCACGAAAGCGUGGGGAGCAAACAGG